This 475-nucleotide ribosomal RNA is filed under the name uncultured bacterium. RNAcentral's name for it is "bacterial SSU rRNA". It matches the Rfam family "Bacterial small subunit ribosomal RNA", at positions 26 to 518 of the family's 1533-position model. The record is from RNAcentral.
AGGACGAACGCUGGCGGCAUGCCUAACACAUGCAAGUCGAACGGAGUUAAGAGAGCUUGCUCUUUAACUAGUGGCGGACGGGUGAGUAACGCGUGAGCAAUCUGCCUUUCAGGUGGGAAUAAUGUUCUGAAAAGAGCACUAAUACCGCAUAACGUAUAAUCGCCGCAUGACGGAUAUACCAAAGAUUUAUCGCUGAGAGAUGAGCUCGCGUCCGAUUAGCCGGUUGGUGGGGUAACGGCCUACCAAAGCUACGAUCGGUAGCCGGACUGAGAGGUUGAACGGCCACAUUGGGACUGAGACACGGCCCAGACUCCUACGGGAGGCAGCAGUGGGGGAUAUUGCGCAAUGGGGGAAACCCUGACGCAGCAAUGCCGCGUGAAGGAUGAAGGUCUUCGGAUUGUAAACUUCUUUUGUCAGGGACGAAAAUGACGGUACCUGACGAAUAAGCUCCGGCUAACUACGUGCCAGCCGCUGC